Molecule: long non-coding RNA, 986 nt
Organism: Spea bombifrons (plains spadefoot toad)
Lineage: Eukaryota; Metazoa; Chordata; Amphibia; Anura; Pelobatidae
Exons: 3
Source: RefSeq, a predicted model, not a curated record
GGCUUUUUGUGCUUCUUCUUCUUCCCACUUUGUCUCCGCCGGAGUCCGGAUCCGCUCCGUGCCAAGCGGGGUCUGCCCGCCCAUCCAUAAGGAUCUAACCCCGUCAGAAGAGGAGCUCCGUGACAUCUCUUCUCCCCACCUAUAGGACUCUGAUCAGCUGCUCGCUGUCACUGAUGCCGGGGCAAGGACUCCCCUCAUCAGCUGCUGUGCGGAGGAGGUUAUAGACUUUGUAUAAUAUGAGCCUCUGAUUACCCGUCCUGUGCUGUUUUAUGCUCUCGGCUUUAUUGUUCUUGGGUGGAGAGUUACCCUCCUGUGACCCAUGGAUGUCUUUAACUGCCUCUCCUGCCAGCAGGCCCUCUGGGACCCUGUAACUGUAAGAUGCGGCCAGUCUUUCUGCAAAAGGUGCUUGCGGGGGCCAGCAGUGGACAGGUGCCACGUUUGCAAGCAGAAGCUGAAGCCCAGGGGUGCCCAGGAGCUGAAAUGUAACACCCUUUUAUGCAACUUGCUGGAGAAGUGCCUGCAGAGCGAAACCAGACUGAACAGGGUGAGAAGCGACCUGCGCGAUCUGCUCUCACUCCAGGACCACGAAGAGGCAGCAAAAGUGGCCUCCAGAGGAGUUGCGAUGGCUGCUUGAAGAUCUUGGUUUUCCGGUGCCUUCAUCUCCUGAAGAGCUGUUAGACGAGGUCUCUCAUUACUUGAAGUCGUCCAGUCCAGACGCCGCUACCCUCAUAGCUCCUCUAAAAGCUGCAUCCAUUGAUUCAUGUGACACAAUAGCGAAUGUGAAGUGAUGUAGGCUUAAAGGUCUUAGAAAGCAGCACAUGAUGCCACAAUCUGAAGAAACUCAAGAGCAAAGAAGAAACAACUGGGAAUCAUCCAAAGCAAUUUCUAAGGCUCUGGGACUCCAGCAAAGCACUGUGAGAGCCAUUAUCUACAAAUGGAGAAAACGAACAAAAAGAACACAAACUCUUGUCUGACAUUUGCCAAAA